GCUCAGGACGAACGCUGGCGGCGUGCCUAAUACAUGCAAGUCGAGCGGACAGAUGGGAGCUUGCUCCCUGAUGUUAGCGGCGGACGGGUGAGUAACACGUGGGUAACCUGCCUGUAAGACUGGGAUAACUCCGGGAAACCGGGGCUAAUACCGGAUGGUUGUUUGAACCGCAUGGUUCAGACAUAAAAGGUGGCUUCGGCUACCACUUACAGAUGGACCCGCGGCGCAUUAGCUAGUUGGUGAGGUAACGGCUCACCAAGGCGACGAUGCGUAGCCGACCUGAGAGGGUGAUCGGCCACACUGGGACUGAGACACGGCCCAGACUCCUACGGGAGGCAGCAGUAGGGAAUCUUCCGCAAUGGACGAAAGUCUGACGGAGCAACGCCGCGUGAGUGAUGAAGGUUUUCGGAUCGUAAAGCUCUGUUGUUAGGGAAGAACAAGUGCCGUUCAAAUAGGGCGGCACCUUGACGGUACCUAACCAGAAAGCCACGGCUAACUACGUGCCAGCAGCCGCGGUAAUACGUAGGUGGCAAGCGUUGUCCGGAAUUAUUGGGCGUAAAGGGCUCGCAGGCGGUUUCUUAAGUCUGAUGUGAAAGCCCCCGGCUCAACCGGGGAGGGUCAUUGGAAACUGGGGAACUUGAGUGCAGAAGAGGAGAGUGGAAUUCCACGUGUAGCGGUGAAAUGCGUAGAGAUGUGGAGGAACACCAGUGGCGAAGGCGACUCUCUGGUCUGUAACUGACGCUGAGGAGCGAAAGCGUGGGGAGCGAACAGGAUUAGAUACCCUGGUAGUCCACGCCGUAAACGAUGAGUGCUAAGUGUUAGGGGGUUUCCGCCCCUUAGUGCUGCAG
Molecule: ribosomal RNA, 848 nt
Filed under: Bacillus siamensis
Lineage: Bacteria; Bacillati; Bacillota; Bacilli; Caryophanales; Bacillaceae
Description: bacterial SSU rRNA
Rfam family: Bacterial small subunit ribosomal RNA
Source: RNAcentral